CUAAGUUCGAUGGCGACCGGCGCACGGGUGAGUAACACGUAUCCAACCUGCCGAUGACUCGGGGAUAGCCUUUCGAAAGAAAGAUUAAUACCCGAUGGCAUAGUUCUUCCGCAUGGUGGAACUAUUAAAGAAUUUCGGUCAUCGAUGGGGAUGCGUUCCAUUAGGUUGUUGGCGGGGUAACGGCCCACCAAGCCUUCGAUGGAUAGGGGUUCUGAGAGGAAGGUCCCCCACAUUGGAACUGAGACACGGUCCAAACUCCUACGGGAGGCAGCAUG
This 275-nucleotide ribosomal RNA is filed under the name uncultured bacterium. RNAcentral describes it as "partial 16S ribosomal RNA". It matches the Rfam family "Bacterial small subunit ribosomal RNA", at positions 79 to 353 of the family's 1533-position model. The record is from RNAcentral.